UGGGGAAUUUUCCGCAAUGGGCGCAAGCCUGACGGAGCAACGCCGCGUGAGGGAUGAAGGCCUCUGGGCUGUAAACCUCUUUUCUCAAGGAAGAAGAUCUGACGGUACUUGAGGAAUAAGCCACGGCUAAUUCCGUGCCAGCAGCCGCGGUAAUACGGGAGUGGCAAGCGUUAUCCGGAAUUAUUGGGCGUAAAGCGUCCGCAGGCGGCCUCGUAAGUCUGUCGUUAAAGCGUGGAGCUUAACUCCAUUUAAGCGAUGGAAACUGCAAGACUAGAGUGUGGUAGGGGCAGAGGGAAUUCCCGGUGUAGCGGUGAAAUGCGUAGAUAUCGGGAAGAACACCAGUGGCGAAGGCGCUCUGCUGGGCCAUAACUGACGCUCAUGGACGAAAGCCAGGGGAGCGAAAGGGAUUAGAUACCCCUGUAGUC
This 425-nucleotide ribosomal RNA is filed under the name uncultured cyanobacterium. Its description in RNAcentral is "bacterial SSU rRNA". It matches the Rfam family "Bacterial small subunit ribosomal RNA", at positions 355 to 795 of the family's 1533-position model. Lineage: Bacteria; Bacillati; Cyanobacteriota. The record is from RNAcentral.